Molecule: ribosomal RNA, 584 nt
Filed under: uncultured fungus
Lineage: Eukaryota; Fungi
Description: eukaryotic LSU rRNA
Rfam family: 5.8S ribosomal RNA (bases 213-366)
Source: RNAcentral
AAGUCGUAACAAGGUCUCCGUUGGUGAACCAGCGGAGGGAUCAUUACCGAGUUUACAACUCCCGAACCCUUUGUGAACAUACCAUCGUUGCUUCGGCGGGACCGCCCCGGCGCCUUCACUGCGCGCCGGAACCAGGCGCCCGCCGGGGGCCCGAAACUCUUGCCUUUUGAGCGUGGAAUUUCUCUGAGUGGCACACAAAAAAAAUGAAUCAAAACUUUCAACAACGGAUCUCUUGGUUCUGGCAUCGAUGAAGAACGCAGCGAAAUGCGAUAAGUAAUGUGAAUUGCAGAAUUCAGUGAAUCAUCGAAUCUUUGAACGCACAUUGCGCCCGCCGGCAUUCUGGCGGGCAUGCCUGUUCGAGCGUCAUUUCAACCCUCAGACCCCAGGGCCUCCCGGGGGACUGGCGUUGGGGACCGGCCCCGCCCCGUGCGGCGGCCGCCCCCGAAAUCCAGUGGCGGUCACGCCGCGGCUUCCUCUGCGUAGUAGCAAUCGCCUCGCAGUAUGGGACGCGGCGCGGCCACGCCCGAAAAGACGUACAUCUCGUGGUUGACCUCGGAUCAGGUAGGAGUACCCGCUGAACUUAA